CCAGGACUGGGUUUGUCCCUUUAGAGCAGUGGAUUCCCUUGUAGCCAAGGCCAUCAAGCUCUAGAGGAUCCUCAGUGAGAGAUAUGACCUCUCAAUAUUCAAGAGUCACUCAUCUACAGGGGACCCUAGACUGCCCAGCAGUGAGACAUGGCAGGUGAAGUCCUGCCCCUGUCUCCCUUGGACCUGACUGGAUACAGCUUUCAUGAACCCAUGGAGCCAACCCUGCCCUGACAGCUAGCAAGAGGCCAAGACCAACAGUACAACUACAAUCAGGAAUGCGACUGUUAAGAGAAGAACACCUCAAGUGAGCAUGCGCAAAAUUUUGAGUCUCACUCUGUUGCCCGGGCUGGAGUGCAAUGGUUCGAUCUCAGCUCACUGUGACUUCCACCUCCCAGGUUCAAGACAUUCUCCUGUCUCAGCCUACUGAGUAGCUGGGAUUAUAGGCAUGAACAACCGUGCCCAGCCGUGUCUUCUCUUUUACCUGGCAACCCUACUAGAGGUACUAGUUGCCUUCAGUUUCAAUCUUUUCUUGAUUACUUUUGUGAUGCAUUGAAUUAAAUUUGAUUAGCCAUCCUUAACACAGCAUCUAGAUUCAGCUUUUUCCACUAUGCAAAUCAGGUAGUAUAGUCAUUCAUACUCUUUCCAUCUUCUAAAGUAUUGUUGAUGUAUUUCACCUGCUUUCUUUUGCUCUCUAUUCUCUAUGUGUUAGAGAAUAUGUACCUUCUUAUUUAUUUACUGUCUUUUUGUUGGAAUUUUUGGAGGGAGUGACAACAAAAAAUGUGUUUCAUAUGACAACAUGAACUGACAGUCAUUGUAAUUAUUUUUUAAAUGUGAGAUUUUGUUUCUAAGAUGUUCCUUCACAUACAAUUUGGCAUUCUCUGGAAUAGUUGUCUAAUAGUAAAUGAAUAAAGAGAAC
Molecule: long non-coding RNA, 916 nt
Filed under: Homo sapiens (human)
Lineage: Eukaryota; Metazoa; Chordata; Mammalia; Primates; Hominidae
Description: HSALNT0315100
Source: RNAcentral